CGUAGGUCCCGAGCGUUGUCCGGAUUUAUUGGGCGUAAAGACGAGCGCAGGCGGUUUGAUAAGUCUGAAGUAAAGGCUGUGGCUUAACCAUAGUAUGCUUUGGAAACUGUCAAACUUGAGUACAGAAGGGGAGAGUGGAAUUCCAUGUGUAGCGGUGAAAUGCGUAGAUAUAUGGAGGAACACCGGUGGCGAAAGCGGCUCUCUGGUCUGUAACUGACGCUGAGGCUCGAAAGCGUGGGGGAGCAAACAGGAUU
Molecule: ribosomal RNA, 254 nt
Filed under: uncultured bacterium
Lineage: Bacteria
Description: partial 16S ribosomal RNA
Rfam family: Bacterial small subunit ribosomal RNA
Source: RNAcentral